GUCAUGCAACUCCACACUGAAAACCACGAUGACACAGAACAUUUUCUGUACAUUUUCAUGGUGGCACAUCCAGUGUGAUGAUAUGUGCUUUAAGAGAAGAGGCCUCACUGAGGAUUAAAGCUCUUGGGACAUUCAAAGCUGCUGUAAAUGCAUAAGAAAGAAGUGAGAAAAAGGAUCAACUCCCAGGUGAGCCCGGGCACAGCCAGGUGUGGAGGAGGGGCCAUCACCACCCUCUUGGAAGGCAGUCAGGAGUGCCUGCUGCAGGACACUGGGGCCUCUUUUUGCCUCAUCAAAGAAGCUCUGUGGAAACAUUUUUUGGGGAGCCAUGUCCAGUGUUGGAGGCCACAGCUGGAGACAAGACAGCAGAAGUGAUGCACAUUCUGCCCAACAGGACCAGGGUGAGGAAG
Myiozetetes cayanensis is the source of this 407-nucleotide long non-coding RNA. RefSeq lists it as uncharacterized. The transcript is spliced from 3 exons. Lineage: Eukaryota; Metazoa; Chordata; Aves; Passeriformes; Tyrannidae. The record is from RefSeq and is a predicted model, not a curated record.